AGAGUUUGAUCAUGGCUCAGGACGAACGCUGACGGUGUGCUUUAGGCAUGCAAGUCGAACGAGAAAGCCCUUCGGGGUGAGUAGAGUGGCGAACGGGUGAGUAACACGUGGGCAACCUGCCCCUCGCAGGGGGAUAACCGGAGGAAACUCCGGCUAAUACCCCGUAAGCUUUCAGGGUCGCAUGGCUCUGUAAGGAAAGGUAGCUUCGGCCAUCCGGCGAGGGAUGGGCCCGCGGUGCAUUAGCUAGUUGGUGGGGUAAAGGCCCACCAAGGCGACGAUGCGUAGCUGGUCUGAGAGGAUGAUCAGCCACACUGGGACUGAGACACGGCCCAGACUCCUACGGGAGGCAGCAGCCAGGAAUCUUGGGCAAUGGGCGAAAGCCUGACCCAGCAACACCGUGUGGGCGAUGAAGGCCUUCGGGUCGUAAAGCCCUGUUGAUAGGGACGAAGGGCGAAGGGUUAAUAGCCCCUAGCCUGACGGUACCUUUCGAGGAAGCCCCGGCUAACUACGUGCCAGCAGCGGCGGUAAUAC
Molecule: ribosomal RNA, 531 nt
Filed under: uncultured bacterium
Lineage: Bacteria
Description: bacterial SSU rRNA
Rfam family: Bacterial small subunit ribosomal RNA
Source: RNAcentral